CUAAAAGAAUUUAUGUGUUUAAUUUUCUCGAACUUAGAAGAGCGAUUUAAUUGGAGAUUUUAUUGUUGAAUAAAUAUUUAAAACAAUUAAUUAGUGAUGAAAUGUAAUUCGUUUCUAAAUAUAUCUGGUUUUCAUAGAAACGAAUUUAAUUCGGCUUGGUUAUUGUAAUUAAUUAAUUAAUUAAUUGGUUAUUUUAUCGUAGUAAUGUACUAGGGGAUUAGCUUUAGUAUAAAUUAUUAUAAAAAUUUAAAGGUUACUCAGUAGGUAGGAUUAGAAGUUUUCAUCCUUGUAAGAAUGUUAUAAUUGGUUUUGUUGAAUGUUUUAUUUUUAUUUGUUUUAAGGUUUUUAUAUGAAUUUAUUUUGUAAUUUUAGUUGAUUAGUAAAAAUGAUAAAAUUAGUAUAGGAAAAUUUAUUGUUAAUGGUAAGUUUAAGGUUGAUAAAAGGAAUUCGGCAAAUAAUUUUUCACCUGUUUAUUAAAAACAUGGCCUUUUGAUUAUAAUUUAAGGUCUCGCCUGCCCGAUGAGGAGUUGAAUGGCCGCGGUAUUCU
This 547-nucleotide ribosomal RNA is filed under the name Callipogon barbatus. RNAcentral describes it as "partial 16S ribosomal RNA". The record is from RNAcentral. Lineage: Eukaryota; Metazoa; Arthropoda; Insecta; Coleoptera; Cerambycidae.